RNAcentral lists this transfer RNA (69 nucleotides) under Ictidomys tridecemlineatus (thirteen-lined ground squirrel). RNAcentral's name for it is "Spermophilus tridecemlineatus (thirteen-lined ground squirrel) tRNA". It matches the Rfam family "tRNA". From Rfam's summary of the family: Transfer RNA (tRNA) molecules are approximately 80 nucleotides in length. Their secondary structure includes four short double-helical elements and three loops (D, anti-codon, and T loops). Lineage: Eukaryota; Metazoa; Chordata; Mammalia; Rodentia; Sciuridae. The record is from Rfam by way of RNAcentral.
GGGGCUGUAGCUCAGUGGCAGAGCACUUGCCUAGCAUGCAUGAGGCCCUGGGUUCGAUCCUAAGCACCA